RNAcentral lists this ribosomal RNA (885 nucleotides) under uncultured bacterium. RNAcentral describes it as "bacterial SSU rRNA". It matches the Rfam family "Bacterial small subunit ribosomal RNA", at positions 1 to 916 of the family's 1533-position model. The record is from RNAcentral.
CCCUUAGAGUUUGAUCCUUGGCUCAGGAUGAACGCUGGCGGCGUGCCUAACACAUGCAAGUCGAGCGAUUCUCUUCGGAGAAGAGCGGCGGACGGGUGAGUAACGCGUGGGUAACCUGCCCUGUACACACGGAUAACAUACCGAAAGGUAUGCUAAUACGGGAUAACAUAAGAAAUUCGCAUGUUUUUCUUAUCAAAGCUACGGCGGUACAGGAUGGACCCGCGUCUGAUUAGCUAGUUGGUGAGGUAAUGGCUCACCAAGGCGACGAUCAGUAGCCGACCUGAGAGGGUGAUCGGCCACAUUGGAACUGAGACACGGUCCAAACUCCUACGGGAGGCAGCAGUGGGGAAUAUUGCACAAUGGGCGAAAGCCUGAUGCAGCAACGCCGCGUGAGCGAUGAAGGCCUUCGGGUCGUAAAGCUCUGUCCUCAAGGAAGAUAAUGACGGUACUUGAGGAGGAAGCCCCGGCUAACUACGUGCCAGCAGCCGCGGUAAUACGUAGGGGGCUAGCGUUAUCCGGAUUUACUGGGCGUAAAGGGUGCGUAGGCGGUCUUUUAAGUCAGGAGUGAAAGGCUACGGCUCAACCGUAGUAAGCUCUCGAAACUGGAGGACUUGAGUGCAGGAGAGGAGAGUGGAAUUCCUAGUGUAGCGGUGAAAUGCGUAGAUAUUAGGAGGAACACCAGUAGCGAAGGCGGCUCUCUGGACUGUAACUGACGCUGAGGCACGAAAGCGUGGGGAGCAAACAGGAUUAGAUACCCUGGUAGUCCACGCCGUAAACGAUGAGUACUAGCUGUCGGAGGUUACCCCCUUCGGUGGCGCAGCUAACGCAUUAAGUACUCCGCCUGGGGAGUACGCUCGCAAGAGUGAAACUCAAAGGAAUUGACGG